RNAcentral lists this ribosomal RNA (470 nucleotides) under uncultured bacterium. RNAcentral describes it as "partial 16S ribosomal RNA". It matches the Rfam family "Bacterial small subunit ribosomal RNA", at positions 28 to 507 of the family's 1533-position model. The record is from RNAcentral.
GACGAACGCUGGCGGCGUGCUUAACACAUGCAAGUCGAACGGUGAACGAGGGAGCUUGCUCCCUCCGGAUCAGUGGCGAACGGGUGAGUAACACGUGAGCAAUCUGCCCCGAACUCUGGGAUAAGCGUUGGAAACGACGUCUAAUACCGGAUACGACGCGGGAGGGCAUCCUCUCCGCGUGGAAAGAACUUCGGUUCGGGAUGAGCUCGCGGCCUAUCAGCUUGUUGGUGAGGUACCGGCUCACCAAGGCGACGACGGGUAGCCGGCCUGAGAGGGUGACCGGCCACACUGGGACUGAGACACGGCCCAGACUCCUGCGGGAGGCAGCAGUGGGGAAUAUUGCACAAUGGGCGCGAGCCUGAUGCAGCAACGCCGCGUGAGGGACGACGGCCUUCGGGUUGUAAACCUCUUUUAGCAGGGAAGAAGCGAAAGUGACGGUACCUGCAGAAAAAGCACCGGCUAACUACGUG